CAACCCUCGAACCCCUCCGGGGGGUCGGCGUUGGGGAUCGGCCCUUUACGGGGCCGGCCCCGAAAUACAGUGGCGGUCUCGCCGCAGCCUCUCCUGCGCAGUAGUUUGCACACUCGCAUCGGGAGCGCGGCGCGUCCAUUGCCGUAAAACACCCAACUUUCUGAAAUG
This 168-nucleotide unclassified non-coding RNA is filed under the name uncultured Trichoderma. RNAcentral describes it as "sequence contains ITS2". Lineage: Eukaryota; Fungi; Ascomycota; Sordariomycetes; Hypocreales; Hypocreaceae. The record is from RNAcentral.